This 520-nucleotide ribosomal RNA is filed under the name Erythrolamprus reginae (royal ground snake). RNAcentral describes it as "partial large subunit ribosomal RNA". It matches the Rfam family "Bacterial large subunit ribosomal RNA", at positions 1814 to 2609 of the family's 2925-position model. The record is from RNAcentral. Lineage: Eukaryota; Metazoa; Chordata; Lepidosauria; Squamata; Dipsadidae.
CAUAACCUUUAGCCACAAAACAGUAUUAAAGGCAACGCCUGCCCAGUGAACAAUUAAACGGCCGCGGUACUCUAACCGUGCAAAGGUAGCAUAAUCAUUUGUCCACUAAUUAUGGACUAGUAUGAAAGGCAAAAUGAGGGUUUAACUGUCUCUUAUAGUAAGUCAAUUAAACUGAUCUACCAGUAAAAAAGCUGGAAUAAACACACAAGACCAGAAGACCCUGUGAAGCUUAAACUAAACUAUUAAAUCAUAUAAUAACUACUUUCGGUUGGGGCGACCUUGGAAAAAAAACAACUUCCAAACUAGUGAUAGUCAAUCACCACCAGGCCAACAAGCCACAUAUGACCCAGCACACCUGAUAAUUGAACCAAGUUACUCCAGGGAUAACAGCGCCAUCUUCUUCAAGAGUCCAUAUCAAAAAGAAGGUUUACGACCUCGAUGUUGGAUCAGGNCAUCCCAAUGGUGUAGCCGCUAUUAAAGGUUCGUUUGUUCAACGAUUAACAGUCCUACGUGAUCUGAG